GAAUAUAGACAGAUGGCUAUGACAUCUGUCACCCCACUAAUAACGAGGGUUGAUUUAGCUGAUCUGGCUGGCUAGGCACGUGUCUCUUUCCUCCCUCACCACUCCAUGUGCAUCCCUCCAGAAGUUGCAUGCUAGGCCAAAGAGGAUGGCCUUCCCUGAAUAGAGAUGGACCAGUCUUCAGUCGAGGGUAUACAGGUAGUUUUGCUAACUGCUAGAACCUCUAAACACGCUCUCAAGAAAUCAUAAUAUAUUGCUCGGACUAGAUGGUUAAGUAUAUUAUUUUCCAUGAUUGUACAAAGCACAGUGGUCUCUGCAUUUUAU
Erinaceus europaeus (western European hedgehog) is the source of this 321-nucleotide non-coding RNA. The record is from Rfam. NCBI's taxonomy places the organism in Eukaryota, Metazoa, Chordata, Mammalia, Eulipotyphla, Erinaceidae.